Molecule: ribosomal RNA, 380 nt
Filed under: uncultured eukaryote
Lineage: Eukaryota
Description: partial 18S ribosomal RNA
Rfam family: Eukaryotic small subunit ribosomal RNA
Source: RNAcentral
CAAUAGCGUAUAUUAAAGUUGUUGCGGUUAAAAAGCUCGUAGUUGGAUUUCUGCCGAGGACGACCGGUCCGCCCUCUGGGUGAGCAUCUGGCUCGGCCUGGGCAUCUUCUUGGAGAACGUAUCUGCACUUGACUGUGUGGUGCGGUAUUCAGGACUUUUACUUUGAGGAAAUUAGAGUGUUUCAAGCAGGCACACGCCUUGAAUACAUUAGCAUGGAAUAAUAAGAUAGGACCUCGGUUCUAUUUUGUUGGUUUCUAGAUCUGAGGUAAUGAUUAAUAGGGAUAGUUGGGGGCAUUCGUAUUUAACUGUCAGAGGUGAAGUUCUUGGAUUUGUUAAAGACGGACUACUGCGAAAGCAUUUGCCAAGGAUGUUUUCAUUGA